RNAcentral lists this ribosomal RNA (836 nucleotides) under Catinella sp. (in: ascomycete fungi). Its description in RNAcentral is "Catinella sp. (in: Fungi) partial large subunit ribosomal RNA". It matches the Rfam family "Eukaryotic large subunit ribosomal RNA", at positions 56 to 903 of the family's 3401-position model. Lineage: Eukaryota; Fungi; Ascomycota; Dothideomycetes. The record is from RNAcentral.
AGGAACAACAGGGAUUGCCCUAGUAACGGCGAGUGAAGCGGCAACAGCUCAAAUUUGAAAUCGCGAGAGUGCGAAUUGUAAUUUCUAGAGGAUGCUUCGGUAUGGUUACUGGUCCAAGUCCCUUGGAACAGGGCAGUCAUAGAGGGUGAGAAUCCCGUAUAUGGCCGGUUUAACCAGAUCAUAUGAAGCUCCCUCGACGAGUCGAGUUGUUUGGGAAUGCAGCUCUAAAUGGGAGGUAAAUUCCUUCUAAAGCUAAAUACUAGCCAGAGACCGAUAGUGCACAAGUAGAGUGAUCGAAAGAUGAAAAGCACUUUGGAAAGAGAGUUAAAAAGUACGUGAAAUUGUUGAAAGGGAAGCGCUCGCAACCAGACUCAGGCGCGGGUGCUCAAACAGCCUCCUACUGGCAGUUGCACUCCCUGCAAACGUCUGGGCCAGCAUCAGUUCGGGGGGCUGGAUAAAGGCUCUAGGAAUGUAGCACCCUUCGGGGUGUGUUAUAGUCUAGAGUGCAAUGCAGCUCGGCUUCUGGACUGAGGUCCGCGCAUAUAAAUAAUGCUAGGAUGUUGGCAUAAUGGUUGUGAGCGGCCCGUCUUGAAACACGGACCAAGGAGUCUAACAUCUAUGCAAGUGUUUGGGUAUCAAACCCAUGCGCGCAAUGAAAGUGAACGUAGGUGGGAGCCUUUGGGUGCACCAUCGACCGAUCCCUAUGUCAUCGGAUGGAUUUGAGUAUGAGCAUAGCUGUUGGGACCCGAAAGAUGGUGAACUAUGCCUGAAUAGGGUGAAGCCAGAGGAGACUCUGGUGGAGGCUCGCAGCGGUUCUGACGUGCAAAAUUCCGAUC